RNAcentral lists this ribosomal RNA (586 nucleotides) under uncultured bacterium. RNAcentral describes it as "bacterial SSU rRNA". It matches the Rfam family "Bacterial small subunit ribosomal RNA", at positions 163 to 763 of the family's 1533-position model. The record is from RNAcentral.
CUAAUACCGGAUAUUAUGAGAUUCUCGCAUGAGAAAUUUAUGAAAGCUAUAUGCGCCAAGAGAGAGCCUUGCGUUCCAUUAGCUAGUUGGUGGGGUAACGGCCCACCAAGGCGACGAUGGAUAGCCGGCCUGAGAGGGUGAACGGCCACAAGGGGACUGAGACACGGCCCUUACUCCUACGGGAGGCAGCAGUGGGGAAUAUUGGACAAUGGGCCACAAGCCUGAUCCAGCAAUUCUGUGUGCACGAUGAAGGUCUUCGGAUUGUAAAGUGCUUUCAGUUGGGAAGAAGAAAGUGACGGUACCAACAGAAGAAGCGACGGCUAAAUACGUGCCAGCAGCCGCGGUAAUACGUAUGUCGCAAGCGUUAUCCGGAUUUAUUGGGCGUAAAGCGCGUCUAGGCGGAAAAAUAAGUCUGAUGUUAAAAUGCGGGGCUCAACUCCGUAUUGCGUUGGAAACUGUUUUUCUAGAGUACUGGAGAGGUGGGCGGAACUACAAGUGUAGAGGUGAAAUUCGUAGAUAUUUGUAGGAAUGCCGAUGGAGAAGUCAGCUCACUGGACAGAUACUGACGCUGAAGCGCGAAAGCGUG